This 204-nucleotide ribosomal RNA is filed under the name Glaesserella parasuis. Its description in RNAcentral is "partial 16S ribosomal RNA". It matches the Rfam family "Bacterial small subunit ribosomal RNA", at positions 1 to 212 of the family's 1533-position model. Lineage: Bacteria; Pseudomonadati; Pseudomonadota; Gammaproteobacteria; Pasteurellales; Pasteurellaceae. The record is from RNAcentral.
AAAUUGAAGAGUUUGAUCAUGGCUCAGAUUGAACGCUGGCGGCAGGCUUAACACAUGCAAGUCGAACGGUAACAGGGAGAAGCUUGCUUCUUUGCUGACGAGUGGCGGACGGGUGAGUAAUGCUUGGGAAUCUGGCUUAUGGAGGGGGAUAACUACGGGAAACUGUAGCUAAUACCGCGUAGUAUCGAGAGAUGAAAGACUGGG